This is an RNA transcript of Amaranthus tricolor (Joseph's coat), 2076 nucleotides long. It is a transcript of the gene named homogentisate phytyltransferase 1, chloroplastic, with no coding region annotated. The transcript is spliced from 13 exons. The record is from RefSeq and is a predicted model, not a curated record. Lineage: Eukaryota; Viridiplantae; Streptophyta; Magnoliopsida; Caryophyllales; Amaranthaceae.
AGUUGUUUAGUCGUGUGAACUUGUGAUGACAAAGAUGGUAACGCCAUUCCCUCUAAAGAAAGUUUUUAAAAUCCAAUAAAAGUACAUUCAACAAUCGACAUUGACAAAUGACAAGAAACAAGUAAGAGCUUGGUCGCACUCGCAAACCAUUCUCCAAGUGCUUGCUUGCGACUUUCCGAUUUGCCACUUGCUUCUUGCUUCUUGCUUCUAUAACUUGGGUUAUUGAAGCUUACACUCUAUAAUCAGAUUCAUCGACCUGUAAAUUUCUCUUCAAUUGUUUCUUUUCAAUCUUAAUCAAGAAGCCACAGAUAUGGAUUUGAUGAUACUUGGGUCAUUUUCACAAACCCACAAAUUUCCAACUGCUCUUCAUCUUCCCAAACUCAGAAUUUCUUUGGACUCUAGGCGUAAAAAAUGGCAUCUAUUGGACAGAGAUAGUAGUUUGAGGUUCCAGCGACAUCUAGUGGAGAAGAGCAUUGUAACUUUUGAAAAGGGUUCUAUUCUGCGCCAAACUUAUAAUAGAAGAUGUCUAAUAGUCACAUCCAGUGGACAACCGCUUGAAUCUGGACCUGAAGUUUAUGGUUCCAAGAAUCUUUGGAAUUCGAUUGGUACCUUUUUGGACGCCUUCUAUAGGUUUUCAAGACCUCACACUGUUAUCGGCACAGCAUUGAGCAUAGUUUCAGUUUCUUUACUUGCCGUGGAGAAGCUUUCUGAUUUGUCUCCCGUGUUUUUCACUGGAAUGUUGGAGGCCAUUAUUGCUGCUCUUUUCAUGAAUAUAUACAUCGUGGGCUUAAAUCAACUAUCUGACAUAGAGAUAGACAAGAUUAAUAAGCCAUAUCUUCCGUUGGCAUCAGGGGAAUUCUCUUCUCAAACAGGAAUCUUUAUUGUCACAUCAUUUGCUAUAUUGAGUUUUUGGUUGUGGUCAUAUGUCGGUUCAAGGCCCUUGUUCUGGGCUCUUUUUGUCAGCUUUGUGCUUGGUACAGCAUAUUCAAUCAAUCUGCCUAUGCUAAGAUGGAAGAGAUCUGCUGUUAUUGCGGCAAUGUGCAUCCUAGCAGUCCGGGCAAUAAUCGUUCAAAUUGCCUUUUUUUUGCACAUACAGAUGCAUGUUUUUGGAAAACCAGCUAUCUUCUCUCGGCCAGUAAUUUUUGCAACUGCAUUUAUGAGCUUCUUUUCAGUAGUUAUAGCAUUGUUUAAGGACAUCCCUGACAUGGAAGGUGAUAAAAUAUUUGGUAUUCGAUCAUUUACUGUGCGACUGGGACAGAAACGGGUGUUUUGGAUUUGUAUUUCACUACUUCAAAUGGCUUAUGCUGUUGCAAUUUUAGUUGGGGCUUCAUCUUCCUUCAUCUGGAGCAAAGUAGUCACGGUUGUUGGUCAUGCUCUGUUGGCUGCGAUACUUUGGAGAAGUGCCAAGUCCACUGAUCUCAGCAGCAAAGCUGCAAUCACGACUUUCUACAUGUUCAUCUGGAAAGAUUAGGAUCUCGACAAUAUCGAAAGGCAGCAGUUUAGCUUUGAGGAAUGAACAUCUCAUGAGUUUAGAACUUACUGCCAAAGACAUGCUUAAUCUUUUUGUACAAUGUGUAUAUGCUUAUCAAUUAUGCUGUGCAAUUCUGUGAACCAUCUGGAAAUGGUUAUUUUACCUCAUUGCUCGCCAUUUUUUGCUCGCCAUCCAUAUUAAAAAUUUACAAAGACACACAACGAGCUAUUUUAUGCAGAGUAUCUGCUGAUACCACUAGUGAGGUGAAUUAUGGAGCAUGAUGAAGAUAGUAUUGUUUUCCAGAUUAACAGGCAAUGUGUACAACAUCAUACCAUGACCAUCCCAAAUCCCAAGUGGACUAAUGUCUUAGCAUGGUUUGAAGGUUAGAUGUAUGCAACGUUACCCUUGUAGUUGUAAUAAUAAAAGAGGCUAUUUCUGAUUGAUCCCAUCAACGCAAUGUGUACAUUAUAAUUUCAUUUUUGGGUUGCGGAGAAGGAUUUGUAGAACAGAUGCACUUAGAACUACUUAACUGAUUUUGUGAAACCACUGCAAACAAAUAUUUUUUAUUAUGGUUGUUUUAGCCUUUAAGGAUUCAUAUUCAUGAA